ACGCACCCCUCCUCCGCUCCACUCCGUCGCCGUCGCCCUCCUACGAUCCAUAGCCGUCGACUCCUCCUCCAAUGAUGACGAGUCGGCGCCGCAAACCAAACCCGCCGCCUCCGAGCCGUCGCCCUCGCCUCCUACGAGCCACCACGGCCGUCUGCUCCUCCGAGACGGCGCUGCAAAGCAAACCCUCGAUAUCGCGGUCGCCCUCGCCCUCGCUUCCCGCGAGCUGUUGCCGUCCCAGGUUCCUUUCCUGUCCUUGGCCGGCGAUCUGCGGGAAGCCACUGCACGCGUGAAGGAGACAUCGCACGAUCCCCCGCUACCCAUGUUCUGCCGGCCUGCACCGCCCCCCGCCCCCAUCCUUCUCCCCCCGCAUUCUCCUCCACUCACGCGGAUCGACGGCCAGCACGUGGAACCGCCGACCUCCACUCGCGCGGAUCCACGGGCCUCCGCACCGCCGCUCGCCGAGAUUGACCGGCCGCCGCUGAUCUCCACGCUCUCUCCGCCCCCGCUCCCUCCCCUGCAUCCAGCCGUCCCCACCUUGCGGAGCCUCGGCUGGCCGACGAUGCUGCCACGAUCACCCCUCCCGAACGUGCCGGCCACAUCCCCGCCGUGCGCGGAUAGGGAGCAUGUCGCUCAACCACCUGCAGCCGCCGGUAAAGAUUCAAUUAUUUUCUGCAUAUUGCAGCGGCUGGUAAGUGGUAAAGUUUGAUAUAUUUUCUGCAUAUCGAAAUCUUUCACCUGAGAUUGCGAUGGAUGCUUGAGUUCGUGGUGUGAGUUGCCUUUUGUUUCUUCCCUCAUCAAUGCGAACCCUCUCUCAUCUUGCAAUAGGAUUAUCUUCUGACCAAAGAAUCAGAAUACAGAGAUCGGUAAUGUUAGUGACCUGCUUCGACUCUGAAAUCCUAAUUCAAUUAUUCCAGCAUUGCAGUCGCUAUGAAUCUUGAAGAGUAAAAACGAAAGAAACAUCUUGCUAAUAAUUGGAGAUCAAGAAGCUUGCAAAUGAAUUUUAUAUUGAACUAAGAGUAUAAGCAAUAAUGGAUAAUUUAUACAGUUGAUUUUUGUGCGUCGGCAUCUGGAAUAGACGCACUUGAUGUAAAAAAGGUCUCAAAGGUGUUGAUCUCUGAAGUGUGGAAACUGUAGCUUACUCUGGGAAGUCGAAAAGAUAAUAUAGAAAGGAAAGUAAUUAAUUUUCGACCACUGGUUAGCAUAUUGUUGCAUUUUAGUGUUUGUCAACUAUAAAUAUUUACAUAUUUUUUGCGCCAUUAGAGAUAAAAGAUCAGUUGAGAAAAUAAACAUGGCCGCGGGCUCCCGAGCCACCAGAACCCUGGCUCAUGAAUUUCCACUUAGGUUAUUCUUGGCUAUUUUAUUUUCUGAAACAAAACAACACCCUUUCAAUGAUUAGCCAAUCAUCGUUGCACUCUGAAGUAAGUGCACAACUGCACACUGAAGCUGCCAUUACAUAAUGGCAUAAUGAUUGAGUUUCUCUCUAGCUUCCCCUGGUUCUUUCAUUGUAUUAAGUAAGUAAACACUGAAGUUCGGAUGAUGUCUCCUAUGUAUUAAGUAAGUGAGAUUGCUUUUUCACCUUUUGCUCCUCUUUGUCUUUUUAGUAUGGCUAUAUAUUCUUCUUUUAUAGUAGGUCAGGUUCACAACAAUCCGUGCAUUGUUCAAGAUUAUUUUUUAUUGGGGUAUGCUGCAUUAUCUCAAAUGGCUCUCUGAAUCAAUAUUUAGUUUUCCAGAAGUUGUGACAAUGAAGAGGGUCUCACUGAAUAUCUCCAAUGGCUCUCUGAUUUUUCAUUUUCUGCAUUUGUAGACUUAUGCUCUUUGUUAAACAUGAUUAGUGGAGCUCGUAAUAUUGAAAUUACAGUAUUAGUCUCCAAAUAAGCUUGGCCAAGGCUGCGGGAUCCUGCACCCUGGAAAGCUGAAUUAUGUUCGCUUCAGGAAUAUUGUAAUCAUAGCUCCAGCACAGCCAAGCAUAAACUUUGCCACUGAUCCGAAGAGGUAGCCCACUUUAAUUCAUGAAAAGGAAGUAACUCCUUCUGUUACAAUUUCAAUCUGUUUAUAAUUUGUAGUUCAAAAAAUAAGGAUAUUUGAGUAUGAUGGUUGAUGUAAAGCUAUGGCUAUCUUUUUCUUGAGAAAAGCUUAAUAUGCUCCGGGUGUCUGGGUUUGAAGUUGCAUUUGUAUUCAGAAUUGCUGAUGAAGAAUGAGCACUGACAUAUCUUUGCAAUGGUUUCAGAAGUAUCUUUGCUGAUGAGAUGAUUGGGGGAUUUUGAUUCUUCUUUUUUCUCUCUUUUUGAUUGUAUGUUUUCUGGAUGAGAAGAUAUUGAGUGUUGUCGUUUCUCUAGGGAUGGCAUGGAUGAUAGCAACAGGUGCCUUUUACCUGGAGUUGCUGUUUGCUCUCCUGGAGUGGCGUACAACCAUUCCUGCUUUCAUCACUAAAGUAGUUUCUGAAGUUGUUAUGAUCGCCUUGGUCUUGUAUAUGGUUAAUUGUGAUCUAACGAGACUAAUAUUUUUUAUAAUCACAGUGAAGAAAUACCCGUCACUUUGAGCUAUAUAAUUUGGAAUUCCUUUGGGGCUUUGUAAAACUAACAAACAGGUUGUGCUCCAGAUCUCCAGUCUUUGAUCUAAUUUUUACCUGUUACCUUCCUAAAUCAGUCCUUUUAUUUACAAUCUCAAUCUUUCCUAUACAGUUGCAUUCUCUUCAUUCUUCUAUCUUCUUUCCUCUGAGUUAAUAGUUGCUGCUAUUGUUUUACAACACUCUACUUUCUAUAGAUGGCACUAAUUCUAUAAACUUCAUAGAAGGGCAUCUCAACAUAUGGCAUCAUGUUUUCUAUUGAAAAUCUGAUAUAGGGAAAAAAUGAUUGGCCAUAUAUGGUUACCAAAGGGCAGGAAUAGCUUAGCUCAGAUGCUCUGCACUGCAAUCAAUUCUCAAAGGUGCUGGUGGCGCACACAUUGUCGAAAAGUUUCUGCAGCUAUCAGUUUUUCCCAAAGAAGGGAUAUUAUAGAAUUGCAAAAUUGUAACCCUCCUCUUUGUACACCGAACUGAAGGUGAAGGUGAGAGCCCAAUGCUCAAGCCCACCCUUCCCUGCCUCCAGCUUCACUGCUCUUGGUGCAGGAAACAAUGUCAUGUUGAAUAUAGUAAGUCAGGACAUGAACCUGGAAGGUGAAAAGGUA
This is a long non-coding RNA of Panicum hallii, 3165 nucleotides long. RefSeq lists it as uncharacterized. The record is from RefSeq and is a predicted model, not a curated record. The transcript is spliced from 2 exons. Lineage: Eukaryota; Viridiplantae; Streptophyta; Magnoliopsida; Poales; Poaceae.